RNAcentral lists this ribosomal RNA (497 nucleotides) under uncultured bacterium. RNAcentral's name for it is "partial 16S ribosomal RNA". It matches the Rfam family "Bacterial small subunit ribosomal RNA", at positions 28 to 507 of the family's 1533-position model. The record is from RNAcentral.
GACGAACGCUGGCGGCGUGCCUAAUACAUGCAAGUUGAGCGCUGAAGGUUGGUACUUGUACCAACUGGAUGAGCAGCGAACGGGUGAGUAACGCGUGGGGAAUCUGCCUUUGAGCGGGGGACAACAUUUGGAAACGAAUGCUAAUACCGCAUAAAAACUUUAAACACAAGUUUUAAGUUUGAAAGAUGCAAUUGCAUCACUCAAAGAUGAUCCCGCGUUGUAUUAGCUAGUUGGUGAGGUAAAGGCUCACCAAGGCGAUGAUACAUAGCCGACCUGAGAGGGCGAUCGGCCACAUUGGGACUGAGACACGGCCCAAACUGCUACGGGAGGCAGCAGUAGGGAAUCGUCGGCAAUGGACGAAAGUCUGACCGAGCAACGCCGCGUGAGUGAAGAAGGUUUUCGGAUCGUAAAACUCUGUUGGUAGAGAAGAACGUUGGUGAGAGUGGAAAGCUCAUCAAGUGACGGUAACUACCCAGAAAGGGACGGCUAACUACGUG